AUCAGUAGCUGGUCUGAGAGGAUGAUCAGCCACAUUGGGACUGAGACACGGCCCAAACUCCUACGGGAGGCAGCAGUGGGGAAUCUUGCGCAAUGGGCGAAAGCCUGACGCAGCCAUGCCGCGUGAAUGAUGAAGGUCUUAGGAUUGUAAAAUUCUUUCACCGGGGACGAUAAUGACGGUACCCGGAGAAGAAGCCCCGGCUAACUUCGUGCCAGCAGCCGCGGUAAUACGAAGGGGGCUAGCGUUGCUCGGAAUUACUGGGCGUAAAGGGAGCGUAGGCGGACAUUUAAGUCAGGGGUGAAAUCCCGGGGCUCAACCUCGGAAUUGCCUUUGAUACUGGGUGUCUUGAGUAUGAGAGAGGUAUGUGGAACUCCGAGUGUAGAGGUGAAAUUCGUAGAUAUUCGGAAGAACACCAGUGGCGAAGGCGACAUACUGGCUCAUUACUGACGCUGAGGCUCGAAAGCGUGGGGAGCAAA
This 476-nucleotide ribosomal RNA is filed under the name Caulobacteraceae bacterium. Its description in RNAcentral is "bacterial SSU rRNA". It matches the Rfam family "Bacterial small subunit ribosomal RNA", at positions 279 to 772 of the family's 1533-position model. Lineage: Bacteria; Pseudomonadati; Pseudomonadota; Alphaproteobacteria; Caulobacterales; Caulobacteraceae. The record is from RNAcentral.